UGGGGAAUUUUGGACAAUGGGGGAAACCCUGAUCCAGCCAUCCCGCGUGUGCGAUGAAGGCCUUCGGGUUGUAAGGCACUUUUGGCAGGAAAGAAACGUCAUGGGUUAAUACCCCGUGAAACUGACGGUACCUGCAGAAUAAGCACCGGCUAACUACGUGCCAGCAGCCGCGGUAAUACGUAGGGUGCAAGCGUUAAUCGGAAUUACUGGGCGUAAAGCGUGCGCAGGCGGUUCGGAAAGAAAGAUGUGAAAUCCCAGAGCUUAACUUUGGAAUUGCAUUUUUAACUACCGGGCUAGAGUGUGUCAGAGGGAGGUGGAAUUCCGCGUGUAGCAGUGAAAUGCGUAGAUAUGCGGAGGAACACCGAUGGCGAAGGCAGCUUCCUGGGAUAACACUGACGCUCAGGCACGAAAGCGUGGGGAGCAAACA
RNAcentral lists this ribosomal RNA (427 nucleotides) under uncultured Achromobacter sp. Its description in RNAcentral is "bacterial SSU rRNA". It matches the Rfam family "Bacterial small subunit ribosomal RNA", at positions 355 to 774 of the family's 1533-position model. The record is from RNAcentral. Lineage: Bacteria; Pseudomonadati; Pseudomonadota; Betaproteobacteria; Burkholderiales; Alcaligenaceae.